This 20-nucleotide microRNA is filed under the name Monodelphis domestica (gray short-tailed opossum). RNAcentral's name for it is "mdo-miR-875-3p". Its record names the gene mdo-miR-875-3p. Lineage: Eukaryota; Metazoa; Chordata; Mammalia; Didelphimorphia; Didelphidae. The record is from miRBase by way of RNAcentral.
UGGAAAUGCUGAGGUUGCGU